CGCGUCACUUCCCGCUUCCUUCCUUUCACCUUUUUCGGGGUUUAGCCUGUGGAAAGCCGCGCUGCUCUGGUACCGAGUGGUUUUCGGUGGGUUUUUAAUUUUUGUUUUGUUUUCUCAGUCUCACAGGAGCCUGCCGAGGCUUGUUUCUGGAACCCCCUGUCGUGGGUAUCGCCCCCAAAUGGAGGUCCCAGGACUGCGGUUCGCGGAGCUGACCUGUGUGCCUGCCCUCAUGGGGCCUUUUCGUCCUUGGCAAGCCUGGUCUACUAUUUCAAUGCUGGUUUGAAAGAAAAUCCGUCUUGAUCCCAUGGCUUCGCAAACGGAGAACAAUCCCUAUAGGGGGCGGUAGCAGGUGCAGUCCCUGUCGUUGUUGAGUGUGCUUAAUGUCGGGCUCUUGAUGUUCGCUUGAUAGGGAGCAUCCUCACCUUACAGGUUGACACGCAACACUAGUUUGCUAAGACAAAACAGCCGGUAAGUUCUAGAAGCAGCAGUUGUUAGCCAAGAGACACUCCAGUGCUCCUAUUUUAAAUGCAACAUUUCUUUCUCUGUAGCAUUAUUACUAACUGAACUAAACCUUUCUCUCCAACAUUGCUCAAAAUGUAUUCUUCCACUUUAUUUUUGCGAAUAUAAGCAUCGAGUUUUGUGCUGCUCUCUGAGCAUACAAGAACUGGUAAGCAUCGUCCUUAUUGCUUGUACUUCUCAGGUGGGUUUUUUUGGUUUUGCAUGCUUGCAUUUGCCACCACACUUUCUCCGGCCAGGAGUAAUUGAGUUGGGGGAAAGCAAUCUUUUUCAUUUCUCUGCCUUUAAAUAUGUAGUUUGCCCUCAAUAAACUACUCUGUCUUCAUUUAUAUUCUCUGAACAAAUUUGGAAAAACCCUAACAAUAUACCUUCUCUCGAGGUAAAUUGAUCUUUUUUGAACAUAGCCUUUUAAGUAUCAACUGACGCUUGCAUUCCGUACUUUGUAUGCGUUUUCUUAUCACUAAAACCUUGUUGGCAGUAUUUAUGUUUUCAUUCUGUGUAUUUUGAAAAACAUGGAAGCUGAUUGUUUGGGGAAAUACAGUAAGUAGGAAGUGCUUGCAUGACAAUUCCUACCUCAUUUUUUUUUUUUUUUUUUUUUUUUUUUUGCACACAUUCCCCUCCUCAAAACCUGAUUUCCCACAGCUUUUAUUGGAUCACAUCACACAUUAUAGUCAUCUUGGUUCUCACCCCCUCAUAAGGAAGUGAAACUUCUAGACAGUAAGCAUUCUGUCUUCGGCACUGGUUCCCAAAAUCUAGAAUAUUUACUUCUCAGGAAGGGCUGCUCAGUAGCUAUUUUGUUGUGGAGUUCAUAGAUUGAUCUGAUCAUUAGAUUAGUGAGCUGACACACUGAAGACAAUGGGUUUUGGGGGGGGGGUGUUACUGGUUGAAGGGGUUAUGAGAUAUGGGAUUAGUCAUUUCAGUCUGAAUUUUUUUUCUGAAUUGGGACAACUGAGACCUUUUGUGGGACAAGUAUUUACUAAAUGACAUGUGUGAACCAGUGCCUAUCAUAACUGAUUUGCAAGUAAUUUCAAAGCUAAUCUAUAUUAUGUUUAUUUCUUACAGAUGAAGAACAGUUCACAUUUGAUCAGGAUGACAUUAGUGGGAGUUUGGGAUCUGGAACCUACUUAUGUCUAACUCCAGAUUAACACAGUGCUGAUAGCUACUUCAAAUAGUAAAGGCUCUGCUUCUCGGUUAUGCUAUAUCAAAUAGAUAAGCCUACACAAUGGACACCUCAAAUCUGAGAAAGAAAAGGAAGGAAAGCAGUAUUAGACAGAAGGGGAACAUGUUCUAUACAGGUCUUUUAAAACAUCAAAAAUUAAUUAUUUUACAUAGCCUACACUAAUUUGGAAAUUUGACUUGAAUAAUGUAGGAAAAUACAGAUACUAAAAACUGGCUCAAGAAAUAUAAAAUUAUAAAAGAAUAUACCAAAGAAAUCUACCCUUGACAAAUACUACCAGAGAAAAAGCAGGACAGAAUACUUGCCAAAUAUUAAGCUAACAUAACCAUAAUUCAAAAUUGUGAUGAAUUUAAAAUUCAUUACCUAUGAACCAAUAACUAUAUAUAAAGUCUUCUAAAUACCUUGCUCAGAUACUACAGCCAUUGUAAUACUUUACAGUUAGAGUAAAUGCACCCAUAUAAGAAUGGCUAGGUUUUACUACAUUUAUACGAUGGUGCACAGAGACAAGAUGGCUCAGCCUGUAAAAAGUGAUUGAUGACCUGAAUUGAAUGCCUGAAAACCCACAUAAUGGUGGGAGCAAGCUGACUACUACAAGUUGUCCACUGACCCUUGCACACAUAUGCCACAUACGCACCCAUUCUCAAAUGAGGUGCACACACACACUAAAAGGUGAAAAAUAUAGAAAAUUGUGGUAGAUAUGCAGUCUACAGGCAUUCAUGUGGUUAUAAUGCAUAGGCAUUGAAGAAACCAGAGAAAAUGCAUGUAUUCAUUUUAAAAAAUUGCUCAAGAGAAUUUCAAGUUUGGAAAUAACCUAUACCAAAUUAGUUGAUUAUAUUGUAGAGCACAAAAAGAGACAUAGAAGGAGAUUUAUAAUUAAAGUUUUUAGUAUAAAGAUUAUAGAAGCAAAUAAAAACAUGAGCUAUCAUGUAAAACAGAAGAUAGUUUGGAAAGUAAUGGUCCAUGAUUAAGAAGCUAAGGAAAAGCACAGUGGUUUUGGCAAUGUGACUGAUACAGCAAUUCUAAAACAACCAAGAUAAAAAAUUGGACCACAUAGGAUUUCAAGGUAAGUUGACAGUAAAAGCAGAUUCUCAAUUGAAGAAUGAAGAGUUCCUACUGGAGUGCUCACAUCAACAUUCCAGAGAAUAGGAAUUGUUUUCAGAUAGGAAACUAUAACUAAUUAGGAAUGGUGACUUGUCCGCACCUGGUUUGUUUUAUUUUUAAUUGGUCUUUAAUUUUUUUUUAAAUAUGGAAUUCUUUGGUCUAUGCAUUUGUACCUGGUGCCCUCAAGAGGCUAGAGGAAACAGUUGAAACUCUAGGGUCUAGACUACAGUUGUGAGCUGCCAUUCUGGUGCUGCGAUUCAAACCAGAGUUCCCAAGAGCCACUGAUACUCGUAACUGCUGAGCCAUCUCUGACUCCCGCCUGCUUUCCUAAGUGAGAGAAGACAAGCUGGCCUCCCUCCCACAGGUCAGUUCUAGGCAUGACUCUAGAGGGAGGGGCUAGCUCAGGGCAAGUUAAGUCCUCCCACAGGUCAGUUCUAGGCAUGACUCUAGAGGGAGGGGGCUAGCUCAGGGCAAGUUAAGUCCUCCCACAGGUCAGUUCUAGGCAUGACUCUAGAGGGAGGGGCUAGCUCAGGGCAAGUUAAGUCCUCCCACAGGUCAGUUCUAGGCAUGACUCUAGAGGGAGGGGGCUAGCUCAGGGCAAGUUAAGUCCUCCCACAGGUCAGUUCUAGGCAUGACUCUAGAGGGAGGGGGCUAGCUCAGGGCAAAUUAAGUUUUGACACCCGUUUCUAUUCCUCUAUCCUCAUGUGCUCCAUAAACUUGUUUACUUUCAAAAAUAAGAGGCUCACUGUUUUGCCCAACUCCUGGGCUCAAGUGAUUUCCUAUCUCAAUAGCUAGGACCAUGCCAUUACACCCUUUUCUGCCCAUGCACUCCUCAAAGACAAUGCCUCUUCAUAUUAUGCCAUUUAUUAAGAUGUCCUUUGCCUUGACAUGGGUAAUUUUUGGUUCUUGGUUUACUCCUUUGCUAAAGAACAUAUUACCUCAAGAAAUUGACACUGUUUUGAAUGACAGAAAACUAGCAUCAUAUGAAUUGAAGGCAUCUGUUUUUAACAUUAUGUGAAUGGAGGAGAGAAUCAUACAUGUAGUGCUCAUGUCGAAGUCAGAGAAUGACUUAGGGAAGUUGUUACACCACGUGGUUCUUUGGUAUUAAACCCAGCUCAUAAAGACUUCAGCAGUCAGUAGCUUUACCUACUGGAUCUCUCUGGCCCACAAGAGAGAUUGGCCCUCUGCCUGCCCAUUUUCUCAUUUUGUAGCUCAAACCCAGGGCCUUAUCCACAGGAAAUGUUCUACCACUGUGCAGUCUCCACACUGAGAUGAGGUCUCUGUAGCCUAGGCCAGCCUUUAAGUUGUGAACUUCCCUGCCUUUGUCUCAGAAGGACUGGGAUUACACCACACCUGGUCAGUUAAUCUCUUUGAAGGCAGAGUUAGAUGCCUCAAAUUUUAUUAACCUUUUAAUGUACUUUUGCCACUCAGUGAAAAAUUAAGUAGAAUAUAAUUCUCUUUAAGGCAUUCACAUGAUACAUGUUCCUUCCCAACAGAAUUUAGUGUAGUUUAGUGUUUUCCAGAAGAGCUAAGUUCAGAAGCUUUACGUUAAGAAAAUUACAUUGUAGAAUCAACCUACAAUCCACUUUUAGAAGUAUUCUCAUGUGGCCUCAAAUUUUUCAAUUUUUUUAAAAUAGGUUUUGUGUGUGAGUACCUCAUGUAUAUAUACAUCACAUGUCUGCCUGGUAGCUGCAGAGGCCAAAAGAACUUGUGAUCCACACAUUGAGGGUGCUGGGAUAUAAAACCAGGUUCUUUGCAAGAACAUCAAGUGCUCUUAACUGCUAACCAUUUCUUUAGCUCUCAAGACUUUUAGCUUUUGGUUCAGAACAUGUUCUAUCUUGUAAGACUUUAGUUUUGAUUGUGGUACUUUGCAGUAUAGUUCUAAAACUUUUCCAUCUUUGGGAGCUGAAGUAUAAUUCUGGUCAUUUCUAGGAUAGUUAGCAGUACGUAAAAAUAACUUGGAGGUUUUUACUUGUUGACUUUGUACAAAACCUACUAUGUACAGUGAAUCUAAGGCUAAGCUAAAUUUGGAGAUCUGGGCCACAAUCUCACAUUUGGCCUCUUACAAGGAGAAAAUGAGAAUUAGAAACUUGUCAGUUUGAAACAUGAAUACCAUUAGUCAUCCUAGAAACAAUACUAUCCUCUGUAGAUUUCACCCAUGUCAACUAAGUUUAAUUUCAGUAGUAGCUCUUAUGUCUUCCUACUUCCUGUCAACCCAAUCAGUUGUACCUAGCCUAGGUACCCAUAUUAUAUCCGGGAACAGUUUUGUAUUUUGAGACAGGAUUCCACUGGCCUUUAUUAGUCAUAAUGUAUCAUGCAGGCUCUGCCUCCCAAGUACUGAGAUUAAUGCAUGAUGUCUGGCCCAUGUAAUGUCUUAAAUCUUACCAUAUUUUUGUGACUUAACCUACCAACACUUUCUUCUAUUGGUAAUUUCUCUUUCUUCCUAUCCCCCUGUAUUUUCUUAUCUCAGGACUCUUCAUCCCCUUCUAAGUACUUGCUAGUAGCUAUCAGUGGUUUUUCAAGAUAAAGGGUGUGCAGCAGGAAAUGUGGUCUACAUUGUUGGAUGGUACAAUUCUUCCAUGGCAGUGUUAAUGUAUACCAUCAGUUGUACUGUCCCAUGAUGCAUUUAUAAUUUGGUGCUGAAUGGAGAAUUAAUGUUAAGGUUUUGGUUUUUAAUGUAUAUGGGAGUUUGGUUUUCUUCAUGAAAAUUUACUCUGUGUGUGCCUGAUACCCUUGGAGACAAAGAUUCCCUAGAACUGUAAAUAGAAAUUGAGGUGUAUGUUGUGAAUCAAACUGGGAUCCUGUGGAAGAACAGCCUAUACUCUAACUGUUGAGCCAUCUCCAACCCUGACUUUCAGAUUAACAAGCUCUUUAAAAUUGUAGUCAUUUGUUGUUGAGGAAAAACUUGAUACAGGACAUUGCUUUCAUUUAAAAUGUCUAAUAUUGCCUCAGAAUCAUAAUACAGACUCCUUAGUGUGAACAAGAAACGGAUUUAGUCUCUUAAAAAUCACUAGGGUUUAACCAUAUGUAAAUUUUUGAAAUAAUGCUGGAAAGAGCUCAACAGUUAAAGAACACAGGCUGCUCUUGCGGAAAAAAACAAAGUCUGGGUCUCAGUGCCCACACACAACUCACUACUGACUGCAACUCCAGUUCCACUGGACCUAAUGCCCUUUUCUAGCAUCCUUGGGCACCAGGUACACUGGUGAUGCACAGACACAUUGGGAAAAAAAACUAACACUUUUAAACUGUUUCAAGCCUAACUCUCCAGUGAUAAGCAUAACAAUGUUCAUUCCAUUCUUAGCUAUACUGUAGUACCACUUCUAUAAAUUAUUCCUUUAAAAUUCUCCAAUACUUUUUGAUAUGCUUGGUUCAGUGUUAACAUUUAUCUUAGUUAAAGACAAAACCAGGUUUCACACUGUACUUUUGGAGUUGCUCAAUUUUAUUCACAAACCAGAGUACCCUUUAGUGCUAUAAUCAAAGAAAUCACAUGAAAAAAGCCUUCCAUCUCCCACGGAAAAAAAAUCACAAGUUUUAAUACUGUAUAUGUAUCUUCUAUAAAUGGAAUAAUAUCAUAUCUGGGAGUAUGGCUCAUAACUGGCACUGCACUCAUGUUUUAAAACACACAUUAAACAUAAGGGUCACAUUCUAAGGUCACUCAAGAAAUACAAACCAAGAUUGUUCAUCAUUCAGUUUAUUACAUGUAUGAAUAUUAACAUCUCAUGUUACCCAUCUAAUUCAAUCAAAACCAACAAAGAAAAAAAGUUAACCAUGUUUUUCAUAUGAACAUUCUUAUACAGAAUCCCUGUAACUUAAAAUAGAAAUGUGUUCAUCUGCAUUAAAUUGACAAUUUUAAAAAUAUUUUCUAAAAAGUAAAAUCACUUUUAGUACUUAAAUAUAUUUGUUAGUUGCUUGAUGGCAUCAGUGUCCAAGUUUAAAUAAGCAUUACUGUUUCAUUACAUACUUUCCAAAAGUGGACAUUGUGGAUGACUCUAGCUGGAGAUACAUAUCUAUAUGUAAGCACAUAUGUCCUUUUUGUUUUUUUAAUCUUGCUUUUCUAUUUGAGAAAAACUAAGUUUGAAACUUUGCUGCAUUAAGUCCCAGGAAGCUACUAGAAAAAAAACCAUCAUGUUAAGAUUGCUGUUCAGUUCCAUUCUUGCCCAAUAAAAGUAUAGAAACACUGUCUUUAUUUGAUGGUGUGCAUAAAUAUUACACUCCAUGGAUAGCAAAAAUAUUUUUUAUUUAUAAUUUACAGUUCACAAGUGAAAAUUGUACAUUUGUACACAUACAAUUUCAUUUUGUUACAUUUGCACUCAUCUACAGAACUUUCACACAACAAGCACCUGAAACUGUGCAGGCAGUAGGAAAUGCAAAUACUAAAAUGUAUUUAUUAACCAAAUGAUAGCUGAAGGCCCUGCCACAGCUAGACAAUUAAUAUAGAUAUUUCUAUAUAUACAUAAAAAAAUUCUUCACCUAGAUCCAACAGCAGCUUUUGUUUAAAAAGAAAAGCAUACUUUUCUCAUUUUAUUUAAACUGACUCAACUGUAUCACUUUCUGUUUUAAUUUCAGUGGGUGUUGCUACACUUUCUUCUGAACAAGCUGGUGGGGCAUCAAUUUGUUCUUCCUUAACUUUGGGACUUUCACAGGGUUCUUGCAAUUCGUUUUUGACAAUGUUCAACAUAAUGUUCAAAGGGUUUUCAACUGGUGUCUUGCUGGGAGAUGGUGUGCAAUCAAAUGAAGAUGUCUACAAAAUGAAAAUCCCUAUAAGUACUAAUGAAGUUUCAAAUCAUAUUAAGUAACAAUUAUGUUUAAGAGUUCAAACAAAGGACUACCACAUCCAAUUACAAUGCUUGCUUCUCGCAAGCUAAUAACACUGUUCAGUAUGUACUCGGCCAGAAAGCACAUUAACUUUGAUACCACUAAAAGAAGUCAGAGAGGCGUCAGUAGUUAUAAAACAGCGGGCAAUCCUUUCUUAACUUUGUGAGUCUUGUUAUGUGAAUGUUAGUCUUUUGAGAUUUCUUAAAAUCUCUGCAUCAGAAAUACUCUAGGAAACACUAGUCUUCCAGUUACCUAAAUAUGUAUUAAAAUCUGUAUCAAAGCAGUGUCAUGAGUAGUCAACAUGUUCCACUGGUUUAGAAAAGUCAAGGUAGAGAUAUAAUUGGAUUCCUAGGGCUACUAGACUGCCAUGUUGCCAAUUUUAUAUAAGUCAUCAUUUAAAGUAUAUUAUGAGAGCUGGAAAGAUGGCUCAGUGGAUAAAAUGAAAGCUGACCAUGCAAAUGUAAGGGCCUGAGUUCAAAUCUCUAGAACACACAAAAUUUGGAUACAUAAGAGAAUCCCUGGGAACGUGUAGAACAGCUAGCCUGGUACAAUCACAAAAGAAAAGAGACUCAUGAAAGGUUAAGGACUAACACCCAAGGUUGUCUUCUGACUUCCGCAUGUGUUUUGUGGUACAUAUUCAACUUGCAUUCACAUACAUUAAAGUACAGACACAAAUUUUUAUUUAUUUACAGUGUUGCUAUGUGGUCCUGGCUAUUCUGGAACUAUGUGGACCAGGCUGGUCUCAAAUUCUAAAGAUCCUCCUGCAUCUCAAGUGCUGUCAUUAAAAGGUAUGUGCCACCAAUGCCUAGCCUAACAAUUUUCAAAAUAUCAUUCCUCUACUAAGUAACUAGACAAUACAUAAGAAAAAAAUUAGUUCUUUCCAGACCCCUAAAAAUUUUUGCCCAUCAUAAUCCUUUAGUUUUCUACUUUUCUCUGCCUAGUGGUCCAAUAAAAGUUAAAAAGAUUCAAGUAAACAAAGCAAGAAAUACAAAAACAUUACUACGAAUUUUAAUUUGUAUUUUAUCAGUGAUAAAUCAAGUACAUCAGAGCCUAUCUAAUGCCAAUAUUUAAUAAGCAACCUACUAACUUUUAAAAAAAAAAUUAAAGUAAAAACAUACAAUACCCAAAAAGAACUUACAUUUUGAUAAUCUUCAUAACAUGAUGGAUGGUAAAUCUGAAGAGGGAAAAAAAUAGCUAUUACAUGCAUGUUCAUUUGUAAUAUAUUAUUCUGAUUUCUUUAAUUUUUAAAUCAAAGGAUAAAAUUUAUUUGGUCCAAAAAAUUAGUAAAAUCUAAACAUUUAACCAUACCUAUUUCUUUUAAACUUGGCUUUGUACACUUAUAACGCCUAGCUUUAUUUUCAAGCGAAUAACAAACAGUUCUGAUCGUUAAAUAUCGUGUAGUUAGAAGAAAAUCUAGUUGAGUCUAGCAUCAGUCUCAUAUGGUUGCUAGAAUCCCUCCAAAGGAAACAUUGACUAUUUAAAGUCCAGAAUUUUUUUUAAAAACCAAACCCAGAGAGGAUUAUGAAUCAUCUUUAAAAGGGUGAGUUACUCCAAACAUGAUCAUUAACCCUUUCUUACCUUUCCGUCUACUCUAAUAGCAUUUUUUAAGUGCCAUUCUUCCUCCUCUUCAUCCCAGUACUGUUCAAAUUGUUCUUGACAGAUUUCACAACUCUAAAAUAGAAUCAUAAAAUGAAAUUUACAUUGUUCAUUAAGAUAAAACCCUUUUCAAUAAAAAUAUAAAUUUUUAAGGAAUGUUCAAUAAAUAGUUUUAUGGAUUGUUCCAGCCUUUUACAAAAAGGUUAAUAGCAUUUCACUAUAUUAGUCACUGAUGGCAUCCAACCCAAAUUGGUCAUGAAACAGCCAAGAUUUUGUUUUGUUAUUUUAAAAAGCUUACAAGAAAUCCUUUUAUAUUUGCUUACAAUAUUGUCUCAUGUACCCUAGGCUGGCAUCCAACUCUAUACGCGGGGCCUGGUCUUGAACCCUGAUCCACUGUGCCAGGGAUAAAGCAUAAGUGUUUAUGACUUAAAAGGACUUUAACACUGCCAAAGACAGGGAAUUGAAACACCUUUCUGUUACCUCAACUGCUCCAGCUGGUCCAGCAGGGUCUUAUUAUGUAGCCCAGCCGUCAAUCAUGUAGCCACGCUUGGCCUACUGGCAGUCUUCUGGCAGUAUUCCUUGUGCCUUAGCCUUCCACGUACUAAGAUUACAAGCCACCAAAUCAGGCAGUGACUGAGAGAUCUUAAUGCUAACUUCCUAUAAACUCUAAGAUACCAUUAACUUAAGAUAAUUCACAAUUUUUCAUUUUUAUUUAAUUUUGGAACUGGAGAGAUGGCUUAGCAGUUAAGAGCAUUUAUUGCUCUUGUGGGACCAUGGGUCAGUUCCACUAACAUGGUAGCUCACAACCAUCUGUUAACUCCAGUUCCAAGGGAUCCAACACCCUCUUUUGGCCUCCUCAAGCACUAUAUACAUAAGUGCAUUCUACUUUAAAGAAUAGCUAAAAGUUCCAACAAAUACUAAACAAAAAUUAGAAAUUUACAUAUUUUUAAAAGAGCUAUGAGUACAGGUGCUCCAAGGAAGCUAGAAGUGUCAGAUCUCAUAAAGCUUGAAGUGAAGGAAAGAUGCUCAUACACAAAAUAACCAUAAAUCUAAAAACCAAAAAAAAUCUAUUUUCCAUGGAUCAAGUUUUAUUCAGAAAGUUCAUAACUUCCAGCAACUACUUAAACAUAUACUUCAGAGUAUAAAUGACAUCUAGAUAACUCAGAGGCAUAUGGAUUACUUACUGUUAGACUGUAGUACCAACGUCUAUGAGUGACUUUUCUGCUAACAUCUUUCUCGGUUCUGUUUUGCCGAUAAUGCCAAUCCAAGUGAUCUGCAUAAACAUCUGUCUGGGAUGUCGUGAACCUCAUUCCACACGAGUAACAUUGAAUCCCAGUGUACAGCCGGUUUAUAACACUGUCAUAACGUCUAUUUUGAGGGAAAAAAAGUUUUAAGACAUGACAGUGGCUAAAAACAAAAUACUUAAGUUUUCUAUAUCUUAACAGGAAUCAAAGCAGAAUGAUCUAUGUAAAAUUUACUGUCUUACUGAUCCUUUUUACUUUAGCUUUGGUUAAGUGUGAAACAUGGAGCCUAUUUUCUUAUUUACAAAUUUGCCUUGGUUACUUAUUCCCUUUUGGCUAAAAAUGGAGUAACACUAUAGGCUAACAAGGCAACAGCAAUUCAACUCCUUAGUAUGAAGUUACUAUCAAUAUAGAGAAGACAUGAUUAGUAGAAAGAUAGGGCAAGAGAUCUCACCUCCCUACAAUAUUAAUGUUUUGAAUAAAUCAAAUGUCCUAUUCCAGUUUAAAGAACAGUUAAAAGUAGAGCAUGAUGGCUCACACUUGUAAACCCAGUAUUCAAGAUUCAGCUCAGGCUAACAAGACAUCUCAAGAAAGAAAGAAUAAAAUAAAAAUAAAAAAUAAAUAUAAAAAAUAUGAAAUAAAGCCAUGAAUAACUAUUAGUGCGUAACAUUUAAACUUGAGCAGCAGAUCAAAGGUAGGAUUCAAGCCACUGUUAUCUGAAUGAUUGUCAUAGAUAAAAAGUACUUGUCACAAAAGCUCCAUGGUAUGAGUUCAACCCCCAGAAACCACAAUGGAAGGAGAGAACCAACUCCCAAAACUUGCCCUCUAGCCUACACAAACACAGUAACAUGCAUGCAUGCACCUCCACUCACACACAAAAGGACAGAACAAUGUACAUUAAUGAUUAAAAUGUAAAACAUCACAUACUGCUUCAAUUCUUCAAUGGUGAAAUUGGUAAGAUCUGGAACAUCCUGAUCUUCAUUCUGAUCCUCGUCCUCCUCAGGGGGAGGCUGAGCAACAGCCUCGGUUACCUCUGCAGUGGACAAGAGUCAUUUUUCAGUACUGUAGUCUACUCUGUUCUUUAUAGUAAGACACUGGUUACAAGCAUACAGAAUCUAGUAUGUUAAGUAUGUUUAAGGAACCUUAAAAAAUUUUAAAAUCUUGUUUCCUUAACAUUCAAAUUAUUUUCAAACACCAAAUUAAUAGAUGAGCUAGUAAAAAUCAGUACAUGAUAUUUGUAGUAAUGUUAUUUAAAACAGUGGGCCAGGAGGAUAGUUCAAUCUUUUGAAAUUUUUAACAUUCUCACUAUAAAAAAAUCACACUUGUUUUUCAAAAGACACCAAAAAGUAUACUAAUUUAUUCAAGAGUAGAACUUUACAAUAAUUUAUUAUACCUCAUAAUAAUAGUAUCUCUGACUUAAUUAAGCUUGGUGUAUAUAAAUAUACAGCCAUACUCACGUGCUGUAGCUGAAUCAGGCUGUGACAAUUUGAGAAUUCCUGUUUUUAGCAGUUUUGAAAACAAUUCGUUUACAUCCACCUGACUGAGAUGAUUAUCAGGAUAUGCCUUGGGAAGACCGCCUUAUUUAAAAAAAAAAAAGAAAUUCUUAAUAGAACAUAAAGAUUCAUAUCAUAGUAUUUCUUCAAAGUUACAACUUUCUUCAAGAUAUUCCACCAACAACAAACCUUUUUAUGACAGGUUUAAUUAUUUUAAAAGCUCAGGUUUUCUUUUUGGCUGACAAAUCAUUACUUGAAAAAUAUUCCAGGAUAAAUACUAAAGUACUUAGAGUAUUUUACAAUAAAAAUGUGUGUGUGUGUAUAUAUACACACACAUACAUAUAUAUGUGCAUAUAUUUUAAAAAGUUACUUAAGCUAAAAUUAUUUAAAUUUUAAAUUAUCAAAUUUAUUAAAUUAAUUUAACUUAUUAAGUAUUUAAUAUAUUUAAUUUUUAUAUAUUUACAUUUUUAAAGGUGGUAUUACUUUGUCACUUUAUCACUUUAUUUUCAUACCAAAUAAAAGCAGGAUUCAAAGAA
This is a long non-coding RNA of Mus musculus (house mouse), 12475 nucleotides long. RefSeq annotates it as predicted gene, 26944. Lineage: Eukaryota; Metazoa; Chordata; Mammalia; Rodentia; Muridae. The transcript has 3 exons. The record is from RefSeq and is a predicted model, not a curated record.